This 440-nucleotide ribosomal RNA is filed under the name uncultured bacterium. RNAcentral describes it as "partial 16S ribosomal RNA". It matches the Rfam family "Bacterial small subunit ribosomal RNA", at positions 338 to 795 of the family's 1533-position model. The record is from RNAcentral.
CCUACGGGUGGCAGCAGUAGGGAAUAUUGCUCAAUGGGGGAAACCCUGAAGCAGCAACGCCGCGUGGAGGAUGAAGGAUUUCGGAUUGUAAACCCCUUUUGUUAGAGAAGAAAAUGACGGUAUCUAACGAAUAAGCACCGGCUAACUACGUGCCAGCAGCCGCGGUAAUACGGAGGGGGCAAGCGUUACGCGGAAUCACUGGGCGUAAAGAGCGCGUAGGCGGGAGAGCAAGUCAGAUGUGAAAGCCUUGGGCUUAACCAUAGGACUGCAUUGGAAACUGUUCUUCUGGAGUAUGGGAGAGGUAGGUGGAAUUCUUGGUGUAGCGGUGAAAUGCGUAGAGAUCACGAGGAAUACUCAUUGCGAAGGCGGCCUGCUGGAACAUAACUGACGUUGAUGCGCGAAAGCGUGGGGAGCAAACAGGAUUAGAUACCCUUGUAGUC